RNAcentral lists this ribosomal RNA (417 nucleotides) under Triticum aestivum (bread wheat). RNAcentral describes it as "partial small subunit ribosomal RNA". Lineage: Eukaryota; Viridiplantae; Streptophyta; Magnoliopsida; Poales; Poaceae. The record is from RNAcentral.
AUGUACGGCAAGUGGGCGGGCGACAUCAUCGUGCAGCUCUCGGUCCUGCAGGUCGUCGUGUGGUUCCCGCUGAUGCUCAUCGUCUUCGAGGCGAGGCAGGCCUGGCUGGAUGUGACCUCGGAGCCGGCUGAUGCUGAUCAAGGCGCGCGCGAAGAAGGCGAUCUGUCGGCGCCGGCUGGAGGCGCGCGAGAAGACGGCAGCCAGGCGGCGUUGGGGAGCGAUUUCGAAUGGCCGGCACAAGGUGAAAGCGGCCGUAAGACGGCGGCGAUAGGGUGCGCGUUCUGGGCGCCGCUGCUGCGAGCGGUCGGGGUGAAGCUCGCCCGCAACCCCAACGUGUACGCCAGCCUCCUAGGGGUCGCGUGGUCUUCCGUGGCAAACAGGUUUGCAUGUGCCAUGUUGCACAACAGAAUUGGUUAA